GUGCUCGCUUCGGCAGCACAUAUACUAAAAUUGCAACGAUACAGAGAAGAUUAGCAUGGCCCCUGCUCAAGGAUGACAUGCAAAUUCGUGAAGCGUUCCAUAUUUUU
RNAcentral lists this small nuclear RNA (107 nucleotides) under Phascolarctos cinereus (koala). The record is from RNAcentral. Lineage: Eukaryota; Metazoa; Chordata; Mammalia; Diprotodontia; Phascolarctidae.